GGGCGAGUAGCCGAAUUGGUAUAGGCGCACGGCUUAGAACCGUGUUCCGCAAGGAAUGUGGGUUCGAAUCCCUCCUCGCCCACCA
Molecule: transfer RNA, 85 nt
Filed under: Candidatus Ryanbacteria bacterium
Lineage: Bacteria; Candidatus Ryaniibacteriota
Description: tRNA-Leu
Rfam family: tRNA
About the family: Transfer RNA (tRNA) molecules are approximately 80 nucleotides in length. Their secondary structure includes four short double-helical elements and three loops (D, anti-codon, and T loops).
Source: RNAcentral